This 497-nucleotide ribosomal RNA is filed under the name uncultured bacterium. Its description in RNAcentral is "partial 16S ribosomal RNA". It matches the Rfam family "Bacterial small subunit ribosomal RNA", at positions 28 to 507 of the family's 1533-position model. The record is from RNAcentral.
GAUGAACGCUGGCGGCGUGCCUAAUACAUGCAAGUCGAGCGAACAGACGAGGAGCUUGCUCCUCUGACGUUAGCGGCGGACGGGUGAGUAACACGUGGAUAACCUACUUAUAAGACUGGGAUAACUUCGGGAAACCGGAGCUAAUACCGGAUAAUAUAUUGAACCGCAUGGUUCAAUAGUGAAAGACGGUUUUGCUGUCACUUAGAGAUGGAUCCGCGCCGCAUUAGCUAGUUGGUAAGGUAACGGCUUACCAAGGCGACGAUGCGUAGCCGACCUGAGAGGGUGAUCGGCCACACUGGAACUGAGACACGGUCCAGACUCCUACGGGAGGCAGCAGUAGGGAAUCUUCCGCAAUGGGCGAAAGCCUGACGGAGCAACGCCGCGUGAGUGAUGAAGGUCUUCGGAUCGUAAAACUCUGUUAUUAGGGAAGAACAAAUGUGUAAGUAACUAUGCACGUCUUGACGGUACCUAAUCAGAAAGCCACGGCUAACUACGUG